Molecule: ribosomal RNA, 402 nt
Filed under: uncultured bacterium
Lineage: Bacteria
Description: bacterial SSU rRNA
Rfam family: Bacterial small subunit ribosomal RNA
Source: RNAcentral
UCGGGAAUUUUGGGCAAUGGGCGAAAGCCUGACCCAGCAACGCCGCGUGAGGGAUGAAGUAUUUCGGUAUGUAAACCUCGAAAGAAUGGGAGGAAUAAAUGACGGUACCAUUUAUAAGCUCCGGCUAACUACGUGCCAGCAGCCGCGGUAAUACGUAGGGAGCAAGCGUUGUUCGGAUUUACUGGGCGUAAAGGGCGCGUAGGCGGCGCGGUAAGUCACUUGUGAAAUCUCUGAGCUUAACUCAGAACGGCCAAGUGAUACUGCUGUGCUAGAGUGCGGAAGAGGCAACCGGAAUUCUUGGUGUAGCGGUGAAAUGCGUAGAUAUCAAGAGGAACACCUGAGGCGAAGGCGGGUUGCUGGGCCGACACUGACGCUGAUGCGCGAAAGCCAGGGGAGCAAACG